UACGGGGGGAGCAAGCGUUAAUCGGAAUUACUGGGCGUAAAGCGUGCGCAGGCGGUUUGUAAGCCAGAUGUGAAAUCCCCGGGCUUAACCUGGGAACUGCAUUUGGGACUGCAAGGCUUGAGUACGGCAGAGGGGGGUAGAAUUCCUGGUGUAGCAGUGAAAUGCGUAGAUAUCAGGAGGAAUACCGAUGGCGAAGGCAGCCCCCUGGGUCGAUACUGACGCUCAUGCACGAAAGCGUGGGGAGCAAACGGG
Molecule: ribosomal RNA, 252 nt
Filed under: uncultured bacterium
Lineage: Bacteria
Description: partial 16S ribosomal RNA
Rfam family: Bacterial small subunit ribosomal RNA
Source: RNAcentral